Molecule: long non-coding RNA, 2398 nt
Organism: Xenopus laevis (African clawed frog)
Lineage: Eukaryota; Metazoa; Chordata; Amphibia; Anura; Pipidae
Exons: 4
Source: RefSeq, a predicted model, not a curated record
CAGAGCACAAGUCACAUGACUGGGGGCAGCUGGGAAAUUGACAAAAUUUGUUUGCUCUUUUGAGAAAUGGAUUUCAGUGCAGAAGUCUGCUGGAGCAGCACUAUUAACUGAUGCAUACAUGUUUUCCCAUGACAGUAUCCCUUUAAAAUCAUCAGCAUCCUGACGCGUUUCGUACCACAGAUACGCAAUCAUAGGCAUUAGCUUAAAUAGCUUAAAAGAUUUAGGUCAGCUACUGAUAAUAUCUCUGCAUGUAUUGCUUAUCUGACGAUAUCAGUGGGUGACUGUCACUACUAUUUGUCGGACAUAACUUUUGUACGAUUGCGGUCAGUCAAUUAAUGGCCAGAACAUCGUCUGAUUUGUUAUUCACAGCUGCCUGUACUAGUGAUCUAUUCAUUCCACUGCAUGUUAAAUCAUUUAGCACAAACCGUUAGCUGCAAAAAAAAAAAGGCAUUUUUAGAUGACUAAAGUAUAAUAAAAUUGUAUUGGGUGAAAGUGAUAAUGUUGGUAUUAAACACAUUGAAAUAAGUGUGAAAUUGCUGGUGAGUUUUACGGCAUGCUGUGAUACGUCAGAAAGAAGUGAGGACGCCGCCGCUCUGAAUUUGUGGAAUCGUGUCACCGAUAUGCGCAUUGGACUCUUAAGGGACGCCGAGGAACCGAAAGCGCAAUACGGAAUGCACAGGACACUUUUUUUCAAUGCGGUUGGACAACGGAUGUUUCUGCUACUACCAGGGCCCAAUAUCACAGAGAUCUGGAAGAAUGGAAGGACUGAAUGGCACUUAUGGGAGGUGGAUGCCAAUGAUCUGAAUCCCCAUGGAGUAAUUACACGCUACUGCCACCAAGUUUUAUGGGAUAGAAGGAAAAAGAAGAGAAAGUUGAGCAGGAGCAAUGCAGAGAAAAAAAAAGCCAAUGAGAAACCAACUCAUAUGCUAUGAAUAAAGUUUGGAGAGGGGAACAGGACAACCAGAAAAUGAAGAUAAAAUGUGUUUCCAGAACCAACCACUAUCCUCCUGAGGAAACUCAAAGGGGGGGAUAAAGAUCUACUGGAGAAGUACAGUAACUGCCAGAAGGUGGAAGAAGUGCUAAAAGUGGAGCGAGAAUAUCUAGCAGCAGCCAAUGAUAAAGAUAAUGAAGAUAUUGAGUUAAUGAAUGGGGAUCCACAUUACAGAAAUAUUCCUUAUCUGGACAACCCCAGGUAUCUGGAUAACAGGAGGUACUUGUGCAACAUCCAUUUUUUUGGAACCCGUACCCGCCAUCCGUAACCCGGACCCACAUUCUUACCCGCAAGUACCUUAUUCCGCAACCCGCUGACCAUCAAGAAUCAGGAAGUGCUGUCAUUGUAAACCGGAAGUGACAUCAUCGGAAGUAGGCGUGAAGUAGGCAAGUUUUUGCGGGUACCCGACCCGCUUCAGGACUCUACAACAUUGCUCUAAGCAAGUGACCCCCCCAAGCUGUUGUCUCUGUACUAAGGAGAGGUGUCGACGGUGUAUAUAAUAAGGAAACUAUUCAUUUAACAGUAUAUCAAUUUUAUUUCAACAAGAAUUCAAUUCUUCAUAGACCUUUGUAUUUUAUAGCAGAAAUGUCAUAUUACAGAUGCCUCUCUCGAAGGAAAACCGCGUGAGAUCUCAGCCUUACCUCACCGCUCGCAAGAGAACCGUAACAAGUAGCAAUAAAACUGGAUAAACCGCUUCCAUUUCACAUUUGUUUUUUUCAUCACAAUAAUUUCCAACAGAAAAGUGUGAGCCUUAGGCGCUGCUGUAUAGGAAUGGCCGCUCAGUGGUACAUAAAUCAUGCUGGGCAGUCACAUUAAAUACGACUCUUACAUUAAACUGAAAAUAUACUCUGUUUUCUGCAGAUAGUAAACUCUAUUUUACUCUAUUAAUACUUUAGAUUGAGACACAAAGAAAGGGCUCUGGAUUCAGCGAUGCGAUUAACCCUUUCAUUACCCACGGAGGCCUGCUGCUCUCAGCCAAUGAGAGGGCUCACAAGCUGUGGAUGAGACUUUGCUGGUAUAGGAAUAGUUGUGAAGGGUAUUUGCUGGUUGCUGUGAGAUUGAACCCAACGUGUGCUCUUGCUAAUGCUCAGUAUGUUACAGGCACCGUCGCUCUGUAGCACGAGGCUCUACAUGGCAACACCAUCGCACACAUACAAAUAUGUAAAGCCUAAAUGAUCAUUUUCCUAUUGUAAUAAUAAAACCCCUAUUGUUUCUAAGAGACAUUCCCACUUGAGGACCUGAACGUGUCUGAAUUGCAGCAAAUGUAGCAAGGAAUGGGAUCUACUAUAUGGAAACACAUUACUGGAAUACAAAAACAUUUCCUAUUCAAUUCGUCCUAUUAAACUUUAUUUUCUUUGGAAGAAUAAGUAUUUAUUUUAAAGGAGAACUAAAGAUUAAUGUGGCUAA